GACGAACGCUGGCGGCGUGCUUAACACAUGCAAGUCGAACGGAAAGGCCCUGCUUUUGUGGGGUUCUCGAGUGGCGAACGGGUGAGUAACACGUGAGUAACCUGCCCUUGACUUUGGGAUAACUUCAGGAAACUGGGGCUAAUACCGGAUAGGAGCUCCUGCUGCAUGGUGGGGGUUGGAACGUUGCGGCGGUUGGGGAUGGACGCGCGGCUUAUCAGCUUGUUGGUGGGGUAGUGGCUUACCAAGGCAUUGACGGGUAGCCGGCCUGAGAGGGUGACCGGCGACCUUGGGACUGAGAUACGGACCAGACUCCUACGGGGGGCAGCAGUGGGGAAUAUUACACAAUGGGCGCAAGCCUGAUGAGGAAACGCCCCGUGCGGGAUGACGGCCUUCGGGUUGUAAACAGCUGUCGCCUGUGACGAAGCGUGAGUGACGGUAAUGGGUAAAGAAGCACCGGCUAACUACGUG
RNAcentral lists this ribosomal RNA (468 nucleotides) under uncultured bacterium. RNAcentral's name for it is "partial 16S ribosomal RNA". It matches the Rfam family "Bacterial small subunit ribosomal RNA", at positions 28 to 507 of the family's 1533-position model. The record is from RNAcentral.